This 140-nucleotide ribosomal RNA is filed under the name Drunella basalis. RNAcentral describes it as "partial 12S ribosomal RNA". The record is from RNAcentral. Lineage: Eukaryota; Metazoa; Arthropoda; Insecta; Ephemeroptera; Ephemerellidae.
GACAAAUGAUGCAAGAUAGUAUUUUUGGAUAAAGUUAACCGAUAUUUAGGAUUGAAGAUUUAUAUUUUUAGGUGAAAUUUUAAUUGGAAAUUAAGACAAAGUUUAGUUAGGUGAAACUUGGAAGGCUGGGGGAGAAACUA